CUCCCCCGCCGCGGCGGGAGCGGCGACCCGGCGAGGGGGCGGGGAGGAUGACUUCAUGCCGCCGGAGCGCCAUGAAUUUAGGAGCAGCAGCUGCCGCCGGCGGCGGGAUGUGGGGGUGAAGUGACAGCGGGAGCUGUCGCCGCCUGAAGGAGGGAAGGAGGGAGGGAGGGAGCGAGCGAGGGAGGGGCGGGCGGGCAGGCAGGCAGCGCCGGGCACUGCGUCCCGCUCCGCCCCGCCAAGCCCAGGGCUGCGGGCCCCCACAAGCAGCCGCUGCGGGAGGCAGGGUGGAAGAUGCGCUGAGCCGGUCGCUGGGAAGAGACUAAUGGACUGCAUACUUUAAACAAAUGUAUAUGACUUCUUAAGUGAACUACAAGACAGAAUUCUGGGAGGAAGAAAAUUAUUUUUAGCACUGCUCUGGAGACAGCAUUCAAAUGACUGCAUAUCUUCUUGUGGUGAAGCCAAGCAGCCCAUUCACCAACUGCAAAAAAAAAAGUUAUGUACCAGAUUGAUGCCUCUUUUCUCAAAGGUAUGUUUCAUUUACCAUUCAGUGAUCUCUUAU
This 559-nucleotide long non-coding RNA is filed under the name Dromaius novaehollandiae (emu). RNAcentral describes it as "lncRNA (ENSDNVG00000017955.1)". Lineage: Eukaryota; Metazoa; Chordata; Aves; Casuariiformes; Dromaiidae. The record is from RNAcentral.